Molecule: long non-coding RNA, 1685 nt
Organism: Passer domesticus (house sparrow)
Lineage: Eukaryota; Metazoa; Chordata; Aves; Passeriformes; Passeridae
Exons: 3
Source: RefSeq, a predicted model, not a curated record
GUCAAACCAAUCAGUGGCCAGAUUUGAAAUUGGCACCUGUUGUGGCCACUGAGGAUCUGGAUACACCUCUGAGAACACACAGGGCUUAAAAGCAGAGGAUUCCCAGAAGACUUCCUCUUUUGGAGUCCAGCGUCUUUUCACAGAUGUGCGCGUGGCCUGACUUCAAAAUCAAAUCCAGGGAAAUUCAGGAUUCUCAGGAGUGCUCCCUGUGUGUUUUACCUACUCCUCUACCCACCGUGCAUCAGAUGAGCUCUGCUGUUCAUGGCCAUCAUCAUUCAAGUGCUAGCCACACUGGUUUAGGUUGCAUGGUUUUAGGUUCAUGCUCCAAAUAUUCCUUGCACCACUACACUUUGGGAGAUGCUGACAAGAAACAAGAAGCUGCAGGUUUCAGUCUUGGAUGUGUGAUCUGCUAAGUGAAUUUUACAGAGUUUUUUUCAGAUGUUAAAACUACAAGGUGCUGAUGAGAAGACGAGAAGCCAAACCUGCACUAACUAUCCCAUCUGCUUCCUGCAAGCAAGAUGAAAGAGAAGCACCUACAGUAUUUUCAGCAAGGAAUAUUUAUCGAUUGGCACUAUCAGAGAGGCAGCCUGAAAGGUUUCCUGCAUCUGAAAGCACAGUAUAAUCAUUCCCAGAGUACAGUGAAGGGUGCUGAAUGCCAAAGAAGUACAAGGCUGAGAUCCACACUUGCAAGGCAUCUGUACUUUCACAAAGCACAGACACGGCUCUUCAGGUUUUGUUUUGCACUGAUACAUUGGCAUUUCGCCCUUAUUUAUGAGCUGAGUUUCUCCUCAUAUGGGGUAUGGUGAAAGGAAAAAUUGCACCAGCUUUUUUUAAUAACAAGUCCAGCAAAAUAAGGCAAGUCAAGUUCUGAAUUCUUGAUGAACAGAUUAAACUCUACAGCUUGCAUAGGUGUUUCAGAAUCCAAACCUUUCACUCACAUCCACAGAUCUCUCUGACUUUAAACUUCAUUUGAACAGCUGACAAAGAGCUCAGAGGAAAAGGGUGAGGCAAACUUUGGAAUAUAAGAUUAAAGGACUUAAAUUUGGCUUCCAAAAUGAUUCAGUCAAGGUCUUUACUGCACAUUCACAGUUCCAAAUGAAGGCCUGUACAAAAGUAAAUUAUUAAUAUUUUUGAGAAGCUAGCCAUCAGAUUAGUUAGGAAGCUCUGUACAGAAUAAAGAAGGGUUGAGCUGCCAAUUCAACUCUAUGUCCAUGUACAAGCCUUUCCUAGAGUUCAGCAACACCCAGUUUCAGGACCAGGCACUUGCUGUUUCUUCCCAUCAAAAGAGGCAUCUGUUCCAUCCUUUAAAUUUCAAACUGACUCUGGUACACAAAUUUAAGGAUCUCACAUCUAGUGCUUGUAUUUAGGCAAAACCACCGCUCUGAAGAAAAACAACAGCAUUCUUCCCUUGGCAAAACUAUUCCAGAUCUGUAUUAAAGACAGCAAAUAAACUAUUUUGGUUAACAUUUAAUGACUCCUUCAGGCUACAGGGACUGCUAAAGUAAUUGCAUUUUAUUUUAUUGCAUCAGCAAAUGAGGAGCAAUGCAAGUAGAGUGUGUAAAUAUCUAUUUUUAACAAAGCUGUCCAGCACACAGAAAUGCUGUAUCAGAUUUCAUUAAUGAGAGUGUAAGAUAUGAAUCAAGAGAGACCAUUCAGCGAUGUUCCAGCCUCAUUAGGACACCAUA